Molecule: ribosomal RNA, 468 nt
Filed under: uncultured bacterium
Lineage: Bacteria
Description: partial 16S ribosomal RNA
Rfam family: Bacterial small subunit ribosomal RNA
Source: RNAcentral
GACGAACGCUGGCGGCGUGCUUAACACAUGCAAGUCGAACGGAAAGGCCCUGCUUUUGUGGGGUGCUCGAGUGGCGAACGGGUGAGUAACACGUGAGUAACCUGCCCUUGACUUUGGGAUAACUUCAGGAAACUGGGGCUAAUACCGGCUAGGAGCUCCUGCUGCAUGGUGGGGGUUGGAAAGUUUCUGCGGUUUGGGAUGGACUCGCGGCUUAUCAGCUUGUUGGUGGGGUAGUGGCGUACCAAGGCUUUGCCGGGUAGCCGGCCUGAGAGGGUGACCGGCGACAUGGGGACUGAGAUACGGCGCAGACUCCUACGGGAGGCAGCAGUGGGGAAUAUUGCACAAUGGGCGGAAGCCUGAUGCAGCAACGCCGCGUGCGGGAUGACGGCCUUCGGGUUGUAAACCGCUUUCGCCUGUGACGAAGCGUGAGUGACGGUAAUGGGUAAAGAAGCACCGGCUAACUACGUG